ACUCCUACGGGAGGCAGCAGUGGGGAAUAUUGGACAAUGGGCGCAAGCCUGAUCCAGCCAUGCCGCGUGAGUGAUGAAGGCCCUAGGGUUGUAAAGCUCUUUCACCGGUGACGAUAAUGACGGUAACCGGAGAAGAAGCCCCGGCUAACUUCGUGCCAGCAGCCGCGGUAAUACGAAGGGGGCUAGCGUUGUUCGGAUUUACUGGGCGUAAAGCGCACGUAGGCGGACUAUUAAGUCAGGGGUGAAAUCCCGGGGCUCAACCCCGGAACUGCCUUUGAUACUGGUAGUCUUGAGUUCGAGAGAGGUGAGUGGAAUUCCGAGUGUAGAGGUGAAAUUCGUAGAUAUUCGGAGGAACACCAGUGGCGAAGGCGGCUCACUGGCUCGAUACUGACGCUGAGGUGCGAAAGCGUGGGGAGCAAACAGGAUUAGAUACCCCGGUAGUCCCA
Molecule: ribosomal RNA, 446 nt
Filed under: uncultured organism
Description: partial 16S ribosomal RNA
Rfam family: Bacterial small subunit ribosomal RNA
Source: RNAcentral